This is an unclassified non-coding RNA of Aotus nancymaae (Ma's night monkey), 113 nucleotides long. It matches the Rfam family "Y RNA". From Rfam's summary of the family: Y RNAs are components of the Ro ribonucleoprotein particle (Ro RNP), in association with Ro60 and La proteins. The record is from Ensembl. NCBI's taxonomy places the organism in Eukaryota, Metazoa, Chordata, Mammalia, Primates, Aotidae.
GGCUGGUCUGAAGGUAGUGAGUUACCUCAACUGAUUGUUGACAGUCAGUUACAGAUCAAACUCCUUGUUCUGCUCUUUCCCCGCUUCUCACUGCUGCACUUGGCUAGUUUUUA